Molecule: unclassified non-coding RNA, 262 nt
Filed under: Hevea brasiliensis (rubber tree)
Lineage: Eukaryota; Viridiplantae; Streptophyta; Magnoliopsida; Malpighiales; Euphorbiaceae
Source: RNAcentral
CGGCAUUCAGGAAAGAACUUAAUGAACCAACAGUGAAGGCGAACGCCGUCGGAGGAUCUGAGCCAAACGUCUUCGUAAAGGAGUCGGAGGCGGGCAGGAGUUAUAGAAUAGGAUUUGGUGAGACCGGGCAAGACAGGGACGUAGACUAACCUCUCUUGGAAAGCCACGAGCAGCGCCAUCCCUGCCAUCACUAUGCCGCCCACUCCGUACAGCAACGCACUGACGUACGACCCCAUAUUCUGGGAUAGCUUGUCGUUUAGAU